UACGGAGGGUGCAAGCGUUAUCCGGAUUCACUGGGUUUAAAGGGUGCGUAGGCGGGUUGGUAAGUCCGUGGUGAAAUCUCCAAGCUUAACUUGGAAACUGCCGUGGAUACUAUCAAUCUUGAAUAUCGUGGAGGUAAGCGGAAUAUGUCAUGUAGCGGUGAAAUGCUUAGAUAUGACAUAGAACACUAAUUGCGUAGGCAGCUUACUACACGAUCAUUGACGCUGAGGCACGAAAGCGUGGGGAGCAAACAGG
This 253-nucleotide ribosomal RNA is filed under the name uncultured bacterium. RNAcentral describes it as "partial 16S ribosomal RNA". It matches the Rfam family "Bacterial small subunit ribosomal RNA", at positions 524 to 776 of the family's 1533-position model. The record is from RNAcentral.